This 2789-nucleotide ribosomal RNA is filed under the name Escherichia coli. Its description in RNAcentral is "bacterial LSU rRNA". It matches the Rfam family "Bacterial large subunit ribosomal RNA". Lineage: Bacteria; Pseudomonadati; Pseudomonadota; Gammaproteobacteria; Enterobacterales; Enterobacteriaceae. The record is from RNAcentral.
AGCGUACACGGUGGAUGCCCUGGCAGUCAGAGGCGAUGAAGGACGUGCUAAUCUGCGAUAAGCGUCGGUAAGGUGAUAUGAACCGUUAUAACCGGCGAUUUCCGAAUGGGGAAACCCAGUGUGAUUCGUCACACUAUCAUUAACUGAAUCCAUAGGUUAAUGAGGCGAACCGGGGGAACUGAAACAUCUAAGUACCCCGAGGAAAAGAAAUCAACCGAGAUUCCCCCAGUAGCGGCGAGCGAACGGGGAGCAGCCCAGAGCCUGAAUCAGUGUGUGUGUUAGUGGAAGCGUCUGGAAAGGCGCGCGAUACAGGGUGACAGCCCCGUACACAAAAAUGCACAUGCUGUGAGCUCGAUGAGUAGGGCGGGACACGUGGUAUCCUGUCUGAAUAUGGGGGGACCAUCCUCCAAGGCUAAAUACUCCUGACUGACCGAUAGUGAACCAGUACCGUGAGGGAAAGGCGAAAAGAACCCCGGCGAGGGGAGUGAAAAAGAACCUGAAACCGUGUACGUACAAGCAGUGGGAGCACAGAGCAAUCUGUGUGACUGCGUACCUUUUGUAUAAUGGGUCAGCGACUUAUAUUCUGUAGCAAGGUUAACCGAAUAGGGGAGCCGAAGGGAAACCGAGUCUUAACUGGGCGUUAAGUUGCAGGGUAUAGACCCGAAACCCGGUGAUCUAGCCAUGGGCAGGUUGAAGGUUGGGUAACACUAACUGGAGGACCGAACCGACUAAUGUUGAAAAAUUAGCGGAUGACUUGUGGCUGGGGGUGAAAGGCCAAUCAAACCGGGAGAUAGCUGGUUCUCCCCGAAAGCUAUUUAGGUAGCGCCUCGUGAAUUCAUCUCCGGGGGUAGAGCACUGUUUCGGCAAGGGGGUCAUCCCGACUUACCAACCCGAUGCAAACUGCGAAUACCGGAGAAUGUUAUCACGGGAGACACACGGCGGGUGCUAACGUCCGUCGUGAAGAGGGAAACAACCCAGACCGCCAGCUAAGGUCCCAAAGUCAUGGUUAAGUGGGAAACGAUGUGGGAAGGCCCAGACAGCCAGGAUGUUGGCUUAGAAGCAGCCAUCAUUUAAAGAAAGCGUAAUAGCUCACUGGUCGAGUCGGCCUGCGCGGAAGAUGUAACGGGGCUAAACCAUGCACCGAAGCUGCGGCAGCGACGCUGAUGCGUUGUUGGGUAGGGGAGCGUUCUGUAAGCCUGCGAAGGUGUACUGUGAGGUAUGCUGGAGGUAUCAGAAGUGCGAAUGCUGACAUAAGUAACGAUAAAGCGGGUGAAAAGCCCGCUCGCCGGAAGACCAAGGGUUCCUGUCCAACGUUAAUCGGGGCAGGGUGAGUCGACCCCUAAGGCGAGGCCGAAAGGCGUAGUCGAUGGGAAACAGGUUAAUAUUCCUGUACUUGGUGUUACUGCGAAGGGGGGACGGAGAAGGCUAUGUUGGCCGGGCGACGGUUGUCCCGGUUUAAGCGUGUAGGCUGGUUUUCCAGGCAAAUCCGGAAAAUCAAGGCUGAGGCGUGAUGACGAGGCACUACGGUGCUGAAGCAACAAAUGCCCUGCUUCCAGGAAAAGCCUCUAAGCAUCAGGUAACAUCAAAUCGUACCCCAAACCGACACAGGUGGUCAGGUAGAGAAUACCAAGGCGCUUGAGAGAACUCGGGUGAAGGAACUAGGCAAAAUGGUGCCGUAACUUCGGGAGAAGGCACGCUGAUAUGUAGGUGAAGUCCCUCGCGGAUGGAGCUGAAAUCAGUCGAAGAUACCAGCUGGCUGCAACUGUUUAUUAAAAACACAGCACUGUGCAAACACGAAAGUGGACGUAUACGGUGUGACGCCUGCCCGGUGCCGGAAGGUUAAUUGAUGGGGUCAGCGCAAGCGAAGCUCUUGAUCGAAGCCCCGGUAAACGGCGGCCGUAACUAUAACGGUCCUAAGGUAGCGAAAUUCCUUGUCGGGUAAGUUCCGACCUGCACGAAUGGCGUAAUGAUGGCCAGGCUGUCUCCACCCGAGACUCAGUGAAAUUGAACUCGCUGUGAAGAUGCAGUGUACCCGCGGCAAGACGGAAAGACCCCGUGAACCUUUACUAUAGCUUGACACUGAACAUUGAGCCUUGAUGUGUAGGAUAGGUGGGAGGCUUUGAAGUGUGGACGCCAGUCUGCAUGGAGCCGACCUUGAAAUACCACCCUUUAAUGUUUGAUGUUCUAACGUUGACCCGUAAUCCGGGUUGCGGACAGUGUCUGGUGGGUAGUUUGACUGGGGCGGUCUCCUCCUAAAGAGUAACGGAGGAGCACGAAGGUUGGCUAAUCCUGGUCGGACAUCAGGAGGUUAGUGCAAUGGCAUAAGCCAGCUUGACUGCGAGCGUGACGGCGCGAGCAGGUGCGAAAGCAGGUCAUAGUGAUCCGGUGGUUCUGAAUGGAAGGGCCAUCGCUCAACGGAUAAAAGGUACUCCGGGGAUAACAGGCUGAUACCGCCCAAGAGUUCAUAUCGACGGCGGUGUUUGGCACCUCGAUGUCGGCUCAUCACAUCCUGGGGCUGAAGUAGGUCCCAAGGGUAUGGCUGUUCGCCAUUUAAAGUGGUACGCGAGCUGGGUUUAGAACGUCGUGAGACAGUUCGGUCCCUAUCUGCCGUGGGCGCUGGAGAACUGAGGGGGGCUGCUCCUAGUACGAGAGGACCGGAGUGGACGCAUCACUGGUGUUCGGGUUGUCAUGCCAAUGGCACUGCCCGGUAGCUAAAUGCGGAAGAGAUAAGUGCUGAAAGCAUCUAAGCACGAAACUUGCCCCGAGAUGAGUUCUCCCUGACUCCUUGA